This 578-nucleotide ribosomal RNA is filed under the name uncultured Enterobacterales bacterium. Its description in RNAcentral is "bacterial SSU rRNA". It matches the Rfam family "Bacterial small subunit ribosomal RNA", at positions 207 to 777 of the family's 1533-position model. The record is from RNAcentral. Lineage: Bacteria; Pseudomonadati; Pseudomonadota; Gammaproteobacteria; Enterobacterales.
CGGGCCUCUUGCCAUCAGAUGUGCCCAGAUGGGAUUAGCUAGUAGGUGGGGUAAUGGCUCACCUAGGCGACGAUCCCUAGCUGGUCUGAGAGGAUGACCAGCCACACUGGAACUGAGACACGGUCCAGACUCCUACGGGAGGCAGCAGUGGGGAAUAUUGCACAAUGGGCGCAAGCCUGAUGCAGCCAUGCCGCGUGUGUGAAGAAGGCCUUCGGGUUGUAAAGCACUUUCAGCGAGGAGGAAGGUGGUGAGCUUAAUACGCUCAUCAAUUGACGUUACUCGCAGAAGAAGCACCGGCUAACUCCGUGCCAGCAGCCGCGGUAAUACGGAGGGUGCAAGCGUUAAUCGGAAUUACUGGGCGUAAAGCGCACGCAGGCGGUUUGUUAAGUCAGAUGUGAAAUCCCCGGGCUCAACCUGGGAACUGCAUUUGAAACUGGCAAGCUAGAGUCUCGUAGAGGGGGGUAGAAUUCCAGGUGUAGCGGUGAAAUGCGUAGAGAUCUGGAGGAAUACCGGUGGCGAAGGCGGCCCCCUGGACGAAGACUGACGCUCAGGUGCGAAAGCGUGGGGAGCAAACAGGA